This 774-nucleotide ribosomal RNA is filed under the name uncultured Lactobacillus sp. RNAcentral's name for it is "bacterial SSU rRNA". It matches the Rfam family "Bacterial small subunit ribosomal RNA", at positions 725 to 1502 of the family's 1533-position model. The record is from RNAcentral. Lineage: Bacteria; Bacillati; Bacillota; Bacilli; Lactobacillales; Lactobacillaceae.
CUGUCUAGUCUGUACUGACGCUGAGGCUCGAAAGCAUGGGUAGCGAACAGGAUUAGAUACCUGGUAGUCCAUGCCGUAAACGAUGAGUGCUAAGUGUUGGAGGGUUUCCCCUUUCAGUGCUGCAGCUAACGCAUUAAGCACUCCGCCUGGGGAGUACGACCGCAAGGUUGAAACUCAAAGGAAUUGACGGGGGCCCGCACAAGCGGUGGAGCAUGUGGUUUAAUUCGAAGCUACGCGAAGAACCUUACCAGGUCUUGACAUCUUCUGCCAAUCUUAGAGAUAAGACGUUCCCUUCGGGGACAGAAUGACAGGUGGUGCAUGGUUGUCGUCAGCUCGUGUCGUGAGAUGUUGGGUUAAGUCCCGCAACGAGCGCAACCCUUAUUAUCAGUUGCCAGCAUUCAGUUGGGCACUCUGGUGAGACUGCCGGUGACAAACCGGAGGAAGGUGGGGAUGACGUCAAAUCAUCAUGCCCCUUAUGACCUGGGCUACACACGUGCUACAAUGGACGGUACAACGAGUCGCGAAGUCGUGAGGCUAAGCUAAUCUCUUAAAGCCGUUCUCAGUUCGGAUUGUAGGCUGCAACUCGCCUACAUGAAGUUGGAAUCGCUAGUAAUCGCGGAUCAGCAUGCCGCGGUGAAUACGUUCCCGGGCCUUGUACACACCGCCCGUCACACCAUGAGAGUUCGUAACACCCAAAGCCGGUGAGAUAACCUUCGGGAGUCAGCCGUCUAAGGUGGGACAGAUGAUUAGGGUGAAGUCGUAACAAGGUAACCA